This is a long non-coding RNA of Solanum lycopersicum (tomato), 5606 nucleotides long. RefSeq lists it as uncharacterized. NCBI's taxonomy places the organism in Eukaryota, Viridiplantae, Streptophyta, Magnoliopsida, Solanales, Solanaceae. The record is from RefSeq and is a predicted model, not a curated record.
AAUAUUAAGUAAAAUUUAUUAUUUAAAUACAAUUAAGGUUAUGUUAUUCAGAGAAAUAAAGAUUUAAUUUUAGGCUUGAAUAUAAAAAAUAAGAGACUUGACAUAUUAAUGAACCUCAAGAUUAGAAACUUGAGUAUAGAUUUAUGUUUGAUGAGUUUUUGGUCUAGGCUAUAUAUAGAGUAAUAUGAGUAUCUAUAGACUCAAUAACUUACAAAUUACGUAAAUUGCAUUGGUUGAAAGUGUUAAGAGGCAUUGAGGAAAGGCAACAUUGAAGAAGUAAUUUGCUUGACUUCGGUUCAUCGGUGACUGUAGGUUAUGAUUUAUUCUAUUUAAUAGAUAGGCUCUUAAUAGUGACAGAUAUUCAUUGAGUGCUAUCUUGAAGUUAUCGAUGUACUUGAUGGUGUGAUUGUGUAGCUUGGUUGUCUGAUUUGUGAUUGGUCUAAGAGUCCUGAGACCAUGAACUUAUAAUCUUGAAACUUCUCUAUCGAAGAGGCUUGAUGAACUGUUGUUAAUGAAGUGAAAGUGGUGAUAAGAAAUGAUAAUUUAAUAAAAUUAUUGAAUCACUAUCAUGUUCCGGUAUGACAUUAUUGGAUCAGAGUGUCACAUUUCAACACGGUAUUAUUGGAUCGGGGUGUCACGUUCUGACACAAAAUUAUUGGAUCACAAUACACAUCUCAAUAUGGUAUUAUUGGAUCGGGAUGUAACAUUCCAACACAGUAACUUUAAAGAAAAUCAUAUAUAAACAACGUAAUGUACUCAAUCUUAAAUAACUCAAUUCCUAAAUUCGCUUGGUUUGUGGGCAUGAGUCCUCAAUUAUGUUCUUGAUAGUGCUGAUUGGUUAUAUACAAACUUUAUUGUAGUUGUUAGUUUGUCAUGUUGUUUGUUGCUUUCCACCUGUUAAGUGUCAUAGUUGAUUUUAUACUAUCUAUUCAUUGCAUAUUAGUAUUUAUUUUAUACCUACUCAGUACAUCUAGCCUUGUAUUGAGCGCUACUUGUACUUUUCUUAUGUUUUAAUUUUCGUUUUGUGGAGUGCAACGAGUGUAUCAGAUCUUACUAGGUGGUUUCUUAUUUUAUAUGGUGCGUGUCAGUUUAACAAUGAUUCCAACCAGUAUAUGUUUUUUUGUAGUGAUACUACUUUUGCUAGGGCUUUUGAUAUAGUCUAGAUGUAGGUUGGUGACGUUUAAUUAGGUAAAAAUGAAGAGAUUCUUCAGCGUCUUCUACUUUUCCUUUUGCAUGUUGGGAGUUGUGUCUUUAUUUAUUCUCGUCUAGUUGUACUCUUAAUAGCUCUUGUACCUGUUUAGAUGGGAUCCUUAGGGUUGUUAAUUAUUUUAUAAGUUUUGAUAAAAAGUGUGUUUAAAGAUAUUAUUUAUAAAAUCAUAUUAUUAUAUUUAUCUCUGUUUCAUUAAAUUUUCUGCAUGUUAUAACUAUUGGGAUAUUACGAUUUUCCUACUUAGUUUUUACAGUGGGUGUCAGCACGGCCUGGAGGGUCCAGCCGUGAUAAUUUCAUAGAGUGAUUGGAUGUGGAUUUUUUGACUUACUAAUUUUGGGAGAUGUGAAAAUGUGGUGGUAGUCUUGUGUUGAGUCCUACCGGUGUAUGACUUGGCUAGCAUUUUCUAUCUUUUUGAUGGAGAAGUAUAUACUCUUGAAUUUGAGGAAUUAGGAUGUAGAGGGAGUGAAGCCAUAUGACUUUACCAAUGUGACAACAUUCAAGAAGUUUCGUAAGGAAUGACUAGAUAAUGAACACCAUUACUUUGGAAAAUACAAUUAGUAAAGUUAUCAUAACAUAUAUUGGUUGUCUAGAGAAUGAUGAAAUUAUGUUGAGGCAAUUGAGGGCAGGAUCUCUAUUAUUGUUUCAUUCAGCAUAUAUCAAAAGGUCAUCAUACGACUACUACAAUAAUAUCGAUAUUUUCUUGGUUAAAGUUGUGAUGUGUGUUAGUUUUGUUAUCGACCUAAUAUAAUGAUGAAUUUAUUAAUGUUUUAGAUCUAUUCAAUGGAUCUAAAUGUGUUAGUUAUUAGUGUACAAUCUUCUCGAUAGGUAUAAUGUGUUCUAAUGAUGUAUAUAACAAGAUUUCAUGGUUCAUAUAGUGUUAUGUGGAAACGAAUAUGUCGAGUGUAAUGUGUGAAUACUAACUACUUCAGGAGUACCACUUAUAUGACGUGUUCAAAUAAUGAGGUCAGUGUUGCAUUCAUAUUUGAGAAAUCAACUAGUUUUUUACUACAUACGCUUGAGUUAAGGUUUAUUUUAAAGAAAGAUUUUAGUGAUGGAUAGUUGGCACAAUAUUAAUGUAUUUUGGUUGUGAAGUGUAUCCGGGGGAUCCUAAAUGAGGACUAGGAAUUUCAUCAUAAAUUGCAAAUGAGUGGAUUGAUAUCGUAAUGCUAAUGUUAUGGGUAACAGAAGUCAGUAUAAUAGUGUGAAGGUAUUGAGGAUUUUAGUAAUGAAGUGCAUAUAAAAUUGUAUUAGCUUUUGAUAUUUGGGUGGUACAAGUGUGUUUAAGGUGUCAUGUCGGUAAUAAGAUUGACUUCGUGAUGAUGACAAUGAUUACCGAGCAUAACAGUUAUAAGAUUUUUGAUAAUUUAUGACUUGGAUGCGACUAUAUAAUAAAUUUUUUUUGGCUAAACGACUUAAGUAUAUUAAUGACAACCUGCAGUUAUUUAAAGUUGGCGUUUACCACCAAUUGGUGGUGGUGUGGUCGUACAAAAAGUUAUAGAAUGUUUUGAAACAUCGGUCAAAUAGAAUUGAAAGGAGUAAGAGUUACAAAUGGAAAUAAUUAGUGGGAUGUAGUUUAACUUUUAUAAAUACGAGGGAAUAAGAAUGUUUACUUUGAUUACAAGGGCCAAAGAUUUAUCUUAUGAAAGAAUGGAUAAUUGAAUUCACAAACACAUGGCUCCAUCCGUUUUGCCAAGAUUAUUGUGAUAAUUUUACAUGUUAUUCAUAAACAUUGAAAAUUGUUGGAUAAGAUUUGAGAAAGAAGUCUACACAUGUUAGACUUGAGUGUGGUGAUAAGCUCUUUCAUGAUUAUGAGUUUCGUAACUGGUAUGCUGAAAUUUUUAGCAAAGGAUACCGUAAGAUCGAUGCAGAGGCGAUCAAUUAUAAGCUAAGUUACCAAUCCAUAAGGAUAUUCAAAGCAUGAGCUAAUGUUGAUAGAUAACGGGAUGGAAUUACACAAUUUGGAUCAAAUAUCAAGUUUUUCAUUGUGAGUCUAUAUUUGAGGCAGUAUGUGUUGUCAAGAUAUGGGCUAGUAAAGUAAGAAAUGAUUGAUCACAUUGAAUAUCUAGCAUUUUAAAGGACACGUGUAUAAUUUGAGUAAAAAAUUUGAUUACUUUUGAUUGUUAAAGGACUUAAGGAGGGUUUGAUGUAAUUUUUUGGUUUAGAUGCUAAAAAUGAAGGGUAUUUGGCCUAACAAUAGGAUUGGUAAGUGAGUCAGCAAUAAGGAAAAGUGUUUGGUGUAUUGAAAAAUUUAAGAUAUUUAGAAUUCUGUGUCAUGGAAUUUUUUUAAAAGAAAAGUGAAGGAAUAAAUGGAAAUUUUUGACAUGGACUCUUUGGAGGAAGCAUUUAGUAUUAUUCAAUCUUGGUUCUAUGCAUUCUUAUGUGACCACCUAUUUUCAUCAUGUAGAUGCGUUGGAGUAUGAUUCACUAGCUAUGUACACACAUACUUUGACUUUUGUGGGUGGAUCCCUAGUUGUGGGUCGAAUGAAUGUUUUAGCCGACUUGAUUAUCUCAAAUAACAUAUGUAGUGUUGUCAUUAGGUUUAUGGAGUAUUCCAGUUGUUCUAUAUGUUUCACCUUACUUAUGAGAAUUUAUAAAAGAGCUACCAUGAGUAUUUACAGUUGUCCGACAUAGAGUGACCAUGUAUUCUCUUAGUUUUAGCGUGAUUUAUGCAAUGGUUUGGAAUGGUAGUUUAAAUAUGGUAUGUUUAAGUUUGCGUGGAGUUGAUUAUGGGUGAGAUUUAAUAAUUUUAUCUUGAUGAAAAAGUACUAGCAGAUUUGAAAAAUUAGUGCAUCAUCUGUAGGUGAAACUUGUAUCUGUCAUGGAAUGCUUACAUGGAAAGAGAAGGAGUCAUAGUUCAAAAUUUUUAGAGGCGACAAUGUGGUUGCUAGGAAGACAUUGAUAAUAGUGACGAUUUGAAAGUGUCGACUUUAGUAGGAUGCUGUGAAGGAUAUGCUAAGUCUGAUAAAUAGAGUAUAUGUAUGUCUGUUUUGAGGACAAGGUCGGUGGAUUGCGGGGAGCUAAAACUCACAGGUAUAGGGUUAGCUCGUGAAAGUUAAUGUAUGAAAAGAAAAUCAUAAUAAGAUCUAUGAUGAUUUGUGCGUCAUGAUUGUGUUGUGGUUGGUUCAGGUUAACUCCUUAUUGUAGCUAAUAUUGAUUCAGAAUUUUAUUAUGGAUAUGGUAGAAAAUAUUUGUCAUAUGGUUGUGCUAAGGUCUUAUGGAAGACUCGGUAAUUGAAGAGUCCAUUUGGGAAUAGUUAUGUUAUUAGUUGAGUUUACAUACAAUAAUAAGUUGUCAUUAAAGUAUUGAGAUGGCUCCAUUUGAGUCAUUGUAUGGGAGGGUGUAGAUGUCCAAUUGGUUGGUGUGAUACUUUUGAGAUGAAGUCUUGGUACUAAUAUUUGGAAGGAAUCACUAAGACAUCUACCUUUUCAUCCUUGUCCUUCUUUUGAUCGUUUGAGGACGAACGAUUGAUAUUUUGGUAUAUAAUGUAACGACCCAUUUGAUCAUUUUGAGUAUAGAAUUUUUUAUUUAUAAAAUACUUCCGUUAAAUUUUAAAUGGAUAUUUUGGAUUAUUCGUAACUACAAUUACAGAGUUAAUGUGAUAGUUUUAAAAUUUAUUUAGUUGGUGCUUAAAGAAAAUAAAAUGACAUUAAAAUUAAUAGUGGGUCAUUUUUACCACAUCUUAUAAUUGGUCAUUUAAAAUAAUUAGGUAAAGAAAUAAUUUGUAAACAAAGAAGAAAGAAUAAGCGGAAGAGGAGAACAACAAAAAAGCGGCGUCGAACGAAAACAAAAUUGACGCGGCUAAGUUUUCGCCUAAAAAUAUUCAUCCAAGGUAUUGAAUAUUUUUAAUACAUAUUAACAGGGGCGGAUUUAUGUUAGAGCAAGGGGUUCUUCCGAACCCCCAUCACCGAAAAAUUACACUAUAUAUACGGUUAAAUUUUUAAUUUAUAUGUAUAUAUAUAAUGUUGAACCCUCUUAAUGUACACCAAAGGCGUAGCUUAGUGGCUUUGGGGGUUCAAGAUUUCUCGCUGGAGAAAGUGAGGUUGCGUGUCCGAGCCCCAACCAAGCGAGUGUACCAAUGACUUUGAAUCUCUCUCGGCUCUAUCAAGUUCUCCAACAUCAGGUUCCAGGGUGAGUUAAUCAUUCGAUCUCAUAUUGGAUUCUCUCGGUCAUGACAUGAUGUCCUUAGUUUCGGAUACAACCUAACUGGUUCUUUAUUUUGGUGUCCUUAGACUUAGUAUUUGGAGAUUAGAUAUCCUUGAUGUGAUGACUUUCAGGUUUUGGAAAUUACAUUUAGUAGACUUUAAUUGAUUUGUGUUUCUAACAUUAGAUUUAAGCUUCCGUAUCAUGGUUAGUAUUUUGUAAAUUGAAUGAUAAAUAUAAGUUGGGGUUAAAUUCA